UGAACAGGGACAGCCAUUCAUCACUAGCUAUACAACAGCCUACAUACUGACAAACUGGAGCGAUGCGUCCACAGCUUGAGGAGACGGUUUUGUUUUGCUGUGAAUAAAUGAGCGCUUAUAUUCGAGUGGCGGAGACAUUUUACCGUUAAAUCUUGAAGCCAUUUCAUAAAAAGCAGCAGCGAAAGGCUGCCAGGCUGUGUCUCUCCACCUCCUUUUCCAACCCCUCAGUAGCUACUCUGGAUGUUCUCUCAGACACACUGCCAAUGACGGUGAAGCCUCUGACAAAACCGACUAGUCUACAAAGUGUGAAGAUUAUUACACGUAUGGCGACCGAAGAAAAGACGCCUGAACUGUUUCACGCGUUUUAGUGUCUCUGGAAGACUACAGCGCCUCGAAGAAAGGGAUGCUAACCAGCCGUGUAGCCAAGCUGAACCAAAGUGAAUGAAUGGCUGACAGAGAAAGUGUAUAGCAGCACUAAGACUCUCUCUCUCUCUCUCUCUCUCUCUCUCUCUCUCUCUCUCUCCCAGCGAGGAAUGGACACAGCUUUAUCAACACUGGAGAAACGGAGACCGGGAUAUUGACCCCACAUUUAAUUCACUACUAUGCUGUGGAAAGGAGCUGGGCUUCUGUUUGUGAUAGUAUUUCCCUUAAAUUCAGCCCAGAUCUCAGAGCACCCUCCAGUCAUGAGCAGUGACCUCUUCCCAGGUGUAGUGUACACACCUGGACCAUCAUACCUGAGUCUGAUUCUGCUGGCUUUCACCGUAGGACUGUCCGGCAGUAUUUACCUCUGUGUGCUGCGCUACAUCUGUGCCGGAUGCUGCCAGCCAAUAGGAGUCGGGCCAGAAGAUGACAGCCUAUCUGGAGUGGUCUGAAAAUAUGCUCUUAAGGUGCCAAAAAGGGGUCUUUGAAGCGAUGCCACAGAAGAACUGCUCUGUGAAGUGGCUUUGUGAUUAAAUGUAAAUGGGAUGUAUGUCUUUGCAGAACCUUUUUAAACUUUAAAGAGCCUCCACAUAAUUGUUGUGUACCAAUUAAAGAUUUUCCGAAGCCAAGAAUCAUGUAGGAACCUUUGUUUUAAAGACUGUAGGGUUCUGUUUGUGUGCAUUAGGACUGGCUGCUGUAUGUUAUUUUGACCCUUCUCUCUUUUCUGCAGAGCCUGGUACCUGAAUAUGAUGGAAAUGGCAAAAUGGUAAGAAUAGCAGGGGUGACUGGAGUAAAGGCAAUGAGAGAACAUUGAGGGGUACAUUAUUACAGUGCCCAAGAGGAAAUCCGCUUAUGGCCGUGAUCAUUAUUUUUGCUGAGAAAGGCACAGCCAGUGCUGAUUUUAUUCCUUCGAGCAUCUUGGGAGUAAAAAUGAAGUAUACAGUAAUUGGCCUCACACAGCACUAUUGAUGACUAAUAAUGCACUGUGAUAGCAUUUGUAAUAAUGGUCAUUACGGGCAAAGAAAUGGUCACUAUGUACACAUAGCUGCAUUGUCUUUACACACCUCGUUUGUGUCAUAUAUACAUAUUGUUAAAAUUAUUGAAAUCUUUCAUGGGUGAGUGGCCUGCAGAGCCUCUUGUUUGAUUGACAGGUCACCCUCUGGGGAAGUAAUCUGCAAGCUGCAGCUACUUUGGCUGUGAAGAGCCUGUUGCCAUGGCAAUAGUUCUCUCUGCCUGCCUCUAGAUGGGGCUGCUCUAUUAUCAAUGUGGUGAUCAGAAUUUGUCAGCCGUGAAAUGGACUUGUAUUGAUUAAUAUAGGUAACAGGCUGUGCCAUUCCUAAAUUUUUAUACAUUUAUAUGUGUAUAUGUAUAUAUAUCUGUUUAUGAAAAACUGUUACGUAUUAGGUCCAUGUGAAUGAAUAAAUAAAAAAACUCAUGGUUAUACUGGUAGUAACAUGUUUAUGAUAGUCCACAUGAUGUUUUUUCAGAAAAUUACAGCUGGAUUCCAUUUAUUACUGUGACCCACCUAUAAAGGCAGAGGCCUCCUUGUUCAGAACUUGGUGGUCUAUAGAAGAUGUGCACCGAUGUCAUUGUGGUUUUACACCUCACCCAACCACUUCCUUACACUCACACGGUAAAGGACUUUCUCACACUGAUACAUUUCCUGUUACAUAUAGCAUGAAAAUCUUUUGGUUCUGGUCUCACAGCGAGGAUUCCUUCUGGGUGUUGGAGAAAUCACAUGGCGUCUUUUGGAGACUUUGGAAAAUAUGACAUAAAAUUAAAAGUAUUUACAAAUAUUCAUGCACUGUGGACAUUAUUGAAGUAAUGCUUUGAAAUCUGCCAAAGAAAUAUAAUUGAGGAUAAUCAGUGACAAAAUUAUGUGUAAAGAAAUGCACACCAUCUGUCGACUCUGGGUUCCCUCUGGGGUGAUCGUAAUCGCAGUGGUCAUUUGUUUCCCCAAAACAGGAAAUUGCUCCAUUCUGCCCCUAGGCUUCAACCAGGGUUCUCAGGAAAGAGCAAUAUUGUGUGACAUGAGAGGUGGCUUAUGAAAUGGCAAAUGUCACAUAUUGCAGCUUCUAAGAGUGAUGCU
This is a long non-coding RNA of Pygocentrus nattereri (red-bellied piranha), 2509 nucleotides long. RefSeq lists it as uncharacterized. The transcript is spliced from 3 exons. The record is from RefSeq and is a predicted model, not a curated record. NCBI's taxonomy places the organism in Eukaryota, Metazoa, Chordata, Actinopteri, Characiformes, Serrasalmidae.